Molecule: long non-coding RNA, 325 nt
Filed under: Sorghum bicolor (sorghum)
Lineage: Eukaryota; Viridiplantae; Streptophyta; Magnoliopsida; Poales; Poaceae
Description: long non-coding RNA (SBIC_LNC002429)
Source: RNAcentral
UGGAAAAUGAUAGUCAUGUAAAGAAAAAACAUUUACUUAGAUAGAUUAUCUUUCCAUAAGGUUGAGUGAUCUGAUCUGACAAAUGUUUUAAAUGCUACACUCAUGAUCUUAUCAUCCAUCAACUUUGUCUUGCUCACUAUGCUUAAGGUUAGAGAAGAACAAAUACACUUUUGGUUCUGUUGGUGUUUUCCACCAACAGGGCCCAUGCACUUGAUCUCUGCCUUGUCUCUAUGAGCAGGAUACACUUCGAGCAAAAUAUGGAGGAGUUUUCCAACUCCCAGACUCUACCAAGUGAAGGAUCUGGAUCUACGAGCACAAACACACU